Molecule: ribosomal RNA, 487 nt
Filed under: Gemella haemolysans
Lineage: Bacteria; Bacillati; Bacillota; Bacilli; Caryophanales; Gemellaceae
Description: bacterial SSU rRNA
Rfam family: Bacterial small subunit ribosomal RNA
Source: RNAcentral
GACGAACGCUGGCGGCGUGCCUAAUACAUGCAAGUCGAGCGAAGUUUUUCUGGUGCUUGCACUAGAAAAACUUAGCGGCGAACGGGUGAGUAACACGUAAAGAACCUGCCUCAUAGACUGGGACAACUAUUGGAAACGAUAGCUAAUACCGGAUAACAGCAUUAACUGCAUGGUUGAUGUUUAAAAGUUGGUUUUGCUAACACUAUGAGAUGGCUUUGCGGUGCAUUAGCUAGUUGGUGGGGUAAAGGCCUACCAAGGCGACGAUGCAUAGCCGACCUGAGAGGGUGAUCGGCCACACUGGGACUGAGACACGGCCCAGACUCCUACGGGAGGCAGCAGUAGGGAAUCUUCCGCAAUGGGCGAAAGCCUGACGGAGCAACGCCGCGUGAGUGAAGAAGGAUUUCGGUUCGUAAAGCUCUGUUGUUAGGGAAGAAUGAUUGUGUAGUAACUAUACACAGUAGAGACGGUACCUAACCAGAAAGCCACG